RNAcentral lists this ribosomal RNA (860 nucleotides) under uncultured bacterium. Its description in RNAcentral is "bacterial SSU rRNA". It matches the Rfam family "Bacterial small subunit ribosomal RNA", at positions 596 to 1457 of the family's 1533-position model. The record is from RNAcentral.
GAANUCCCCGGGCUUAACCUGGGAACUGCGUUNUGAACUGGGUAGCUAGAGUAUGUCAGAGGGGGGUAGAAUUCCACGUGUAGCAGUGAAAUGCGUAGAGAUGUGGAGGAAUACCGAUGGCGAAGGCAGCCCCCUGGGAUAAUACUGACGUUCAUGCUCGAAAGCGUGGGUAGCAAACAGGAUUAGAUACCCUGGUAGUCCACGCCCUAAACGAUGUCGAUUAGCUGUUGGGCAACUUGAUUGCUUAGUAGCGUAGCUAACGCGUGAAAUCGACCGCCUGGGGAGUACGGUCGCAAGAUUAAAACUCAAAGGAAUUGACGGGGACCCGCACAAGCGGUGGAUGAUGUGGAUUAAUUCGAUGCAACGCGAAGAACCUUACCUGGUCUUGACAUGUACGGAAGAACUCAGAGACGAGUUUGUGCCUUCGGGAACCGUAACACAGGUGCUGCAUGGCUGUCGUCAGCUCGUGUCGUGAGAUGUUGGGUUAAGUCCCGCAACGAGCGCAACCCUUGUCAUUAGUUGCCAUCAUUUAGUUGGGCACUCUAAUGAGACUGCCGGUGACAAACCGGAGGAAGGUGGGGAUGACGUCAAGUCCUCAUGGCCCUUAUGACCAGGGCUUCACACGUCAUACAAUGGUCGGUACAGAGGGUAGCCAAGCCGCGAGGUGGAGCCAAUCCCAGAAAACCGAUCGUAGUCCGGAUUGCACUCUGCAACUCGAGUGCAUGAAGUCGGAAUCGCUAGUAAUCGCAGGUCAGCAUACUGCGGUGAAUACGUUCCCGGGUCUUGUACACACCGCCCGUCACACCAUGGGAGUGGGGGAUACCAGAAGCAGGUAGGGUAACCGCAAGGAGCCCGCUUGC